This 460-nucleotide ribosomal RNA is filed under the name uncultured bacterium. RNAcentral describes it as "bacterial SSU rRNA". It matches the Rfam family "Bacterial small subunit ribosomal RNA", at positions 29 to 477 of the family's 1533-position model. The record is from RNAcentral.
AGUGAACGCUGGCGGCAGGCCUAAUACAUGCAAGUCGAACGGCAGCACAGCAGAGCUUGCUCUGUGGGUGGCGAGUGGCGGACGGGUGAGGAAUACAUGGGAAUCUGCCCAGUCGUGGGGGAUAACGUAUGGAAACGUACGCUAAUACCGCAUGCGCCCUACGGGGGAAAGUCGGGGACCGCAAGGCCUGACGCGAUUGGAUGAGCCCAUGUUCGAUUAGCUAGUUGGCGGGGUAAAGGCCCACCAAGGCGACGAUCGAUAGCUGGUCUGAGAGGAUGAUCAGCCACACUGGAACCUGAGACACGGUCCAGACUCCUACGGGAGGCAGCAGUAGGGAAUAUUGGACAAUGGGGGCAACCCUGAUCCAGCCAUGCCGCGUGAGUGAAGAAGGCCCUCGGGUUGUAAAGCUCUUUUGUCCGGAAAGAAAGCAAUCGGUUAAUACCCGGUUGUUCUGACGGUA